GACGAACGCUGGCGGCGUGCUUAGCACAUGCAAGUCGAACGGAAAGGCCCUGCUUUUGUGCGGUGCUCGAGUGGCGAACGGGUGAGUAACACGUGAGUAACCUGCCCUUGACUUUGGGAUAACUUCAGGAAACUGGGGCUACUCCCAGAUAGGAUCUCCCGCUGCAUGGUGGGGGUUGGAAAGUUUCGGCGGUUGGGGAUGGACUCGCGGCUUAUCAGCUUGUUGGUGGGGUAGUGGCUUACCAAGGCGUUGACCGGUAGCCGGCCUGAGAGGGUGACCGGCCACACUAGGCCUGAGAUACGGCACAGACUCCUACGGGAGGCAGCAGUGGGGAAUAUUGUACAAUGGGCGGGAGCCUGAGGCAGCAACGCCGCGUUCGGGAUGACGGCCUUUGGGUUGUAAACCGCAUUCGCCUGUGACGAAGCGUUAGUGACGGUAAUGGGUAAAGAAGCACCGGCUAACUACGUG
Molecule: ribosomal RNA, 468 nt
Filed under: uncultured bacterium
Lineage: Bacteria
Description: partial 16S ribosomal RNA
Rfam family: Bacterial small subunit ribosomal RNA
Source: RNAcentral